CAACCAUUUACGCCGCCAACACAAACCCUAGCUCACUCCUUCUCCACGUCGCUAUGACUCCAAAUCGACCGUUCUCUGGCGGUGGACGGCGGAAAGGAGUCACAUCUCCACAAAUCGUCGACGCCUCAACCUCCACGCCUGUCGGAGACGGCGAUAAAACCCUAAUCACCGCCUCGGAGACAAAAAACCCUAAUCCCUUCACCUUCUACCCGCCUCCACCGUCGAGAACGGAGAAAUAGAGGAGUUCGGUGGUGCGUACAAUUCCAUUAUCGAAACAGUGAGGCAGAGGGGUUGAUUUCUUCGAAACCCUACGAAAAUCGUUGGCUUCGAAACCUUACCAAAAUCGAUUGUAUUCGUCGAAACCCUACCAAAUCCAUGGCUUGCUCCUCGGCUACACAAUUCCUCUCCGAAACCAAAAUAAGGAGCAAUCUCAUAAGCAUGGACUGAAUAGACUUUGAUGAUAGAGUUCGUUAUUCUCGGAUGAAGAUUAUCUAUCAAGGAACUAAUAUCUAAAAAAAAUAAGAAGUACAGGUGGAAAAAUAGGAAUAGAGAUUGCAUACAAAUAUUCAUGAGGUAGUAACUAAUCUCAUUAUUUUGGCAUUAUAAUUGCUGCCUUCUUACAAUUAAACUAAACAUACCAUCCUAUCAUGAAAUACAACUUUUAGAUUUGUGAUCAUUCUUUCUUGUCUCCUGAAUUUCCUUCAAAAAAGAUUUUCAAGCAAGGUAAUGAAAGGUUCCAUUCUUGAAUUACUACAUUCUGAUUUAAAGAAACAAAUAUAGGAGGAUCAGUAAUAUAUUAAAAUUAACUAAUCUUUUCUGUGCAGGAAAUGAAUCUCAAAACAAUGAUAUGAACAUGGAAAGAUGAUAUGCAUUUCUAUACGCAACAUUAAACAAUUUCUACAGGAAAUAAUGUACAAAAAUUACAAAAUGAAUUGGCAAAAAGGAAGAAACAUCGAAUGCAAAAAGGAAGAAGCAUGACAUGCAAUAUGUGACAUCAGGAAAAUUCAGAUCAAGAACGGAGGCACAACAACUGUCAGCAAGAUCAGGAAGGCAGGCACAUUCAUUAGUUGCAGGAACCUCAUGAACCAAAAUAUGAAUGAGAGGUAGCACUCAAAAUUUCACAGAUGAGGUGCAUCACAACAAUGACAAAUACAAAUCCAGGUAUGGAUUGCACCCGUGAGUUUAAUUUUUGACUGUAUUUAAUAAUUUUUGAGGUAUGCAUUUUAACUAAUGAUGUAUUUACAGUUUCAGUACGGAUUCUAUUAAAUCCUUUUAUUCUUUAUUAGGAUUUCUUUUGUUAUAUUUUAUAUUUAUAUGUAAUAGUAACUAUUGUAAUAGAAUAAUAUAUAAAAAGUAGGCCUUCAAGAUGACAGCUAUUGGCCUGCCUCUA
Molecule: long non-coding RNA, 1390 nt
Organism: Salvia splendens (bonfire salvia)
Lineage: Eukaryota; Viridiplantae; Streptophyta; Magnoliopsida; Lamiales; Lamiaceae
Exons: 6
Source: RefSeq, a predicted model, not a curated record